This 253-nucleotide ribosomal RNA is filed under the name uncultured bacterium. RNAcentral describes it as "partial 16S ribosomal RNA". It matches the Rfam family "Bacterial small subunit ribosomal RNA", at positions 524 to 776 of the family's 1533-position model. The record is from RNAcentral.
GACAGAGGGUGCAAACGUUGUUCGGAAUUACUGGGCGUAAAGCGAGUGUAGGCGGUCCGAUAAGUCGGGUGUGAAAGCCCUGGGCUCAACCCAGGAAGUGCACUCGAAACUGCCGGGCUAGAGUAUCGGAGAGGUUGGUGGAAUUCUCGGUGUGGAGGUGAAAUUCGUAGAUAUCGAGAGGAACACCGGUGGCGAAGGCGGCCAACUGGACGAAUACUGACGCUGAGACUCGAAAGCGUGGGGAGCAAACAGG